This 260-nucleotide ribosomal RNA is filed under the name Rhipicephalus annulatus. Its description in RNAcentral is "partial large subunit ribosomal RNA". The record is from RNAcentral. Lineage: Eukaryota; Metazoa; Arthropoda; Arachnida; Ixodida; Ixodidae.
CAAAGAAUAACUUUCUUAAAAUUAAAAAUUGAAAUUUUUUUAAUUUGUGUAAAAACAAUUAUAAAAAUUAAAGACAAGAAGACCCUAAGAAUUUUUAAAAUUUAAAUUGAUACAUUUUUGUUUUAAUUAAAUUUUAACUGGGGCGGUUAAAAAAUAUUAAAAACUUUUUAAUUUUGAAAAUGAUCCAUUAUUAAUGAAAAUAUGAUAAAAUACUCUAGGGAUAACAGCGUUAUAUUUUUUGAUAGAUCAUAUUGACAAAA